Molecule: non-coding RNA, 1393 nt
Organism: Vicugna pacos (alpaca)
Lineage: Eukaryota; Metazoa; Chordata; Mammalia; Artiodactyla; Camelidae
Source: RefSeq, a predicted model, not a curated record
AGCUGAGGGGAGGGCAAGCUUUGGCAGGGAAACCUCGACCCUCCCUCCUGUGGCCUGGAGGGUUUCAACCCCACCCCAGAGGAGCAGGCCAGUUAUUUUAACUCUGAAAAUAUUGCCCGUUUCAAAAGGAAGAACCAAGAAAGGAGGAUAUAUGCUACCUCUUUCCCGUGGUCCCUUCAUUUGUGAUGGCAACAGUUUCUUGGACUUGAGGGUUGCAGGGGACCGCUAUACACUUUUUCAUCAAGGCCAAGGUUCCUAAACCCCAUUGAACUUGGAUGAGCCCUUGAUUGGCAGCCAUCACCCUCAGGAUGUAAGUAUGUGAAGACUGGGAAUUUCCGAUUUAGGUAGCUAGUGCUGAAGAUUUGUCUCUCUCUUUUUUUUUAAUCUAAGGCAGUAGCCCUUCCCCUUCAACAAAAGUCACCACCACAAUGAAAAAAACAAUAGUCCACUGAUGAAUUGGAAAACCACUAUUAUUAUGUCAUAUAGUCAAGACGAGAUUCUGAAGCUCAAUUAAAAAGAUGAACUUGUAGUUGCCAAACAGCCUCCUGGAGGAGGAAAGGCAGUGCCCCUUUGUGGCAGGCAACUCUCUGGUUAAUUCUUCUGGAUUGCAUCAUAAAGGGAAAUCUCUAUAUUUGCUCCAGAUUUCUAAAAGAGGUAAGGAACUUCAAGUUCACAAAUCAUCUCCUUUCAAGGCAGGUGCCUGGUGUGACAACAGGGUUAUGACCCUCCCUCUUGUCUUCAGAACAGGGUGACAUCAUCUGGGGACAUCUCAGGAAUGCCCACAGGAUAGAAAAACCUCUGCUAUCAAGACUCCAGAAACCAAGACCUCCUCCUAAGUCCCAAUGUUGUUCCCCGGCUGCCAGCUCCUCCCCGAGUGACUUCCUACAGCACAGCCUUGGUGCCUGCCUGUCCUUCCGGAAGCCUUGGACACAUGUGAGAGGUCCAGGGCAAUACAGAAACGGUCACUCUCGCUUUAGCUUGGCCCGGGGCACGUCACAAAGCAACAGCAAGCCUACAAACGUUGAAGGACCAUGUGGACCAGACACCAUAUACUGGGUGCCAGACACUAGUCUAAGAGAACAUAUGAUCUGUAUUUCCUUGAAUUUAGGACUCUUUUCCCCCCUCAUUUUUUAACAUCUUUAGAACUGGGAUAGGUGUUACAAUCAAUGGCUGUUACAAGGCUAGUCACGAUGGAAGUAUUCAUGCCUCACCCAACUGAUUUCAUAGAUGAAUGUAUGUAACAUGCAUGAAAGCAAUAAAUGGUAUUAAAACUAUUUCUAAGUAAGUUCAGAAGGAUUCUUUCACUAAGCAUCAAAUAGAAAUUCCAAGUAAUAAGAAGGCAAGGUGUCCCAAUGUAAUUGACACCAUUUUUCUUUCUUUUUUUAAAUUAAUU